AGCGUACACGGUGGAUGCCCUGGCAGUCAGAGGCGAUGAAGGACGUGCUAAUCUGCGAUAAGCGUCGGUAAGGUGAUAUGAACCGUUAUAACCGGCGAUUUCCGAAUGGGGAAACCCAGUGUGAUUCGUCACACUAUCAUUAACUGAAUCCAUAGGUUAAUGAGGCGAACCGGGGGAACUGAAACAUCUAAGUACCCCGAGGAAAAGAAAUCAACCGAGAUUCCCCCAGUAGCGGCGAGCGAACGGGGAGCAGCCCAGAGCCUGAAUCAGUGUGUGUGUUAGUGGAAGCGUCUGGAAAGGCGUGCGAUACAGGGUGACAGCCCCGUACACAAAAAUGCACAUACUGUGAGCUCGAUGAGUAGGGCGGGACACGUGGUAUCCUGUCUGAAUAUGGGGGGACCAUCCUCCAAGGCUAAAUACUCCUGACUGACCGAUAGUGAACCAGUACCGUGAGGGAAAGGCGAAAAGAACCCCGGCGAGGGGAGUGAAAAAGAACCUGAAACCGUGUACGUACAAGCAGUGGGAGCCUCUUAAUGGGGUGACUGCGUACCUUUUGUAUAAUGGGUCAGCGACUUAUAUUCUGUAGCAAGGUUAACCGAAUAGGGGAGCCGAAGGGAAACCGAGUCUUAACUGGGCGUUAAGUUGCAGGGUAUAGACCCGAAACCCGGUGAUCUAGCCAUGGGCAGGUUGAAGGUUGGGUAACACUAACUGGAGGACCGAACCGACUAAUGUUGAAAAAUUAGCGGAUGACUUGUGGCUGGGGGUGAAAGGCCAAUCAAACCGGGAGAUAGCUGGUUCUCCCCGAAAGCUAUUUAGGUAGCGCCUCGUGAAUUCAUCUCCGGGGGUAGAGCACUGUUUCGGCAAGGGGGUCAUCCCGACUUACCAACCCGAUGCAAACUGCGAAUACCGGAGAAUGUUAUCACGGGAGACACACGGCGGGUGCUAACGUCCGUCGUGAAGAGGGAAACAACCCAGACCGCCAGCUAAGGUCCCAAAGUCAUGGUUAAGUGGGAAACGAUGUGGGAAGGCCCAGACAGCCAGGAUGUUGGCUUAGAAGCAGCCAUCAUUUAAAGAAAGCGUAAUAGCUCACUGGUCGAGUCGGCCUGCGCGGAAGAUGUAACGGGGCUAAACCAUGCACCGAAGCUGCGGCAGCGACACUAUGUGUUGUUGGGUAGGGGAGCGUUCUGUAAGCCUGUGAAGGUGUACUGUGAGGUAUGCUGGAGGUAUCAGAAGUGCGAAUGCUGACAUAAGUAACGAUAAAGCGGGUGAAAAGCCCGCUCGCCGGAAGACCAAGGGUUCCUGUCCAACGUUAAUCGGGGCAGGGUGAGUCGACCCCUAAGGCGAGGCCGAAAGGCGUAGUCGAUGGGAAACAGGUUAAUAUUCCUGUACUUGGUGUUACUGCGAAGGGGGGACGGAGAAGGCUAUGUUGGCCGGGCGACGGUUGUCCCGGUUUAAGCGUGUAGGCUGGUUUUCCAGGCAAAUCCGGAAAAUCAAGGCUGAGGCGUGAUGACGAGGCACUACGGUGCUGAAGCAACAAAUGCCCUGCUUCCAGGAAAAGCCUCUAAGCAUCAGGUAACAUCAAAUCGUACCCCAAACCGACACAGGUGGUCAGGUAGAGAAUACCAAGGCGCUUGAGAGAACUCGGGUGAAGGAACUAGGCAAAAUGGUGCCGUAACUUCGGGAGAAGGCACGCUGAUAUGUAGGUGAAGUCCCUCGCGGAUGGAGCUGAAAUCAGUCGAAGAUACCAGCUGGCUGCAACUGUUUAUUAAAAACACAGCACUGUGCAAACACGAAAGUGGACGUAUACGGUGUGACGCCUGCCCGGUGCCGGAAGGUUAAUUGAUGGGGUUAGCGGUAACGCGAAGCUCUUGAUCGAAGCCCCGGUAAACGGCGGCCGUAACUAUAACGGUCCUAAGGUAGCGAAAUUCCUUGUCGGGUAAGUUCCGACCUGCACGAAUGGCGUAAUGAUGGCCAGGCUGUCUCCACCCGAGACUCAGUGAAAUUGAACUCGCUGUGAAGAUGCAGUGUACCCGCGGCAAGACGGAAAGACCCCGUGAACCUUUACUAUAGCUUGACACUGAACAUUGAGCCUUGAUGUGUAGGAUAGGUGGGAGGCUUUGAAGUGUGGACGCCAGUCUGCAUGGAGCCGGCCUUGAAAUACCACCCUUUAAUGUUUGAUGUUCUAACGUUGGCCCCUGACCGGGGUUGCGGACAGUGUCUGGUGGGUAGUUUGACUGGGGCGGUCUCCUCCUAAAGAGUAACGGAGGAGCACGAAGGUUGGCUAAUCCUGGUCGGACAUCAGGAGGUUAGUGCAAUGGCAUAAGCCAGCUUGACUGCGAGCGUGACGGCGCGAGCAGGUGCGAAAGCAGGUCAUAGUGAUCCGGUGGUUCUGAAUGGAAGGGCCAUCGCUCAACGGAUAAAAGGUACUCCGGGGAUAACAGGCUGAUACCGCCCAAGAGUUCAUAUCGACGGCGGUGUUUGGCACCUCGAUGUCGGCUCAUCACAUCCUGGGGCUGAAGUAGGUCCCAAGGGUAUGGCUGUUCGCCAUUUAAAGUGGUACGCGAGCUGGGUUUAGAACGUCGUGAGACAGUUCGGUCCCUAUCUGCCGUGGGCGCUGGAGAACUGAGGGGGGCUGCUCCUAGUACGAGAGGACCGGAGUGGACGCAUCACUGGUGUUCGGGUUGUCAUGCCAAUGGCACUGCCCGGUAGCUAAAUGCGGAAGAGAUAAGUGCUGAAAGCAUCUAAGCACGAAACUUGCCCCGAGAUGAGUUCUCCCUGACUCCUUGA
Molecule: ribosomal RNA, 2787 nt
Filed under: Escherichia coli
Lineage: Bacteria; Pseudomonadati; Pseudomonadota; Gammaproteobacteria; Enterobacterales; Enterobacteriaceae
Description: bacterial LSU rRNA
Rfam family: Bacterial large subunit ribosomal RNA
Source: RNAcentral